UGGGGAAUAUUGCACAAUGGAGGAAACUCUGAUGCAGCGACGCCGCGUGAAUGAUGAAGGCCUUCGGGUUGUAAAGUUCUGUCCUUGGGGAAGACAAUGACGGUACCCAAGGAGGAAGCCCCGGCUAACUACGUGCCAGCAGCCGCGGUAAUACGUAGGGGGCGAGCGUUGUCCGGAAUUAUUGGGCGUAAAGGGUUCGCAGGCGGUCUGAUAAGUCAGAUGUGAAAGGCGUAGGCUCAACCUACGUAAGCAUUUGAAACUGUCAGACUUGAGUUAAGGAGAGGAAAGUGGAAUUCCUAGUGUAGCGGUGAAAUGCGUAGAUAUUAGGAGGAAUACCAGUGGCGAAGGCGACUUUCUGGACUUAUACUGACGCUGAGGAACGAAAGCGUGGGGAGCAAACAG
Molecule: ribosomal RNA, 402 nt
Filed under: uncultured bacterium
Lineage: Bacteria
Description: bacterial SSU rRNA
Rfam family: Bacterial small subunit ribosomal RNA
Source: RNAcentral